AACUUCGAGUAAUAGAAAAGAAUCUUAAUAAAAUAAAUACUGAAAUAAAAGUAUUGGACAAGAUAAAGCAAUUGAAUUUCAAAACAAAGGGUGAUUUAGAUUUGUUAGUAGAGGAACAUUCAAAACUUCAAGUAAUAAAGAAGAAAUUUUAUAACACAAUUGCUGAAAUAAAUUACAUCGUAACUGACGACAACUCUUCAGCGAAUUUCAAAUAUAGACUUACAUCCAUACAGCCCAUACAGGACGAAUAUUCAACGCCGAAGGAUGAUCGCACUCCGUAUAAAAGGAAACGCUCCAUUUUAAAUUUAAGAUUCUAGACCGUCUUCCUCCAAUAUCGUAAUUAUUGGAAAUCUUUCGGAGAACAUGAAUGAGUUUCUUUGCCAUGUUUCAAAAAGACCAAAUAAUUAUAUUAAUUAUGGACUGCAGCGGAAUAGCCCGCGCCGAUUAAGGAGGUUCCAGCGUUACUCUCUAGAUAAUAAACAGUUUAUUCUUAAAAUUGUGUAUAACGAUUAAAAUAAUAAUAU
Molecule: long non-coding RNA, 524 nt
Organism: Wasmannia auropunctata (little fire ant)
Lineage: Eukaryota; Metazoa; Arthropoda; Insecta; Hymenoptera; Formicidae
Exons: 4
Source: RefSeq, a predicted model, not a curated record